Molecule: ribosomal RNA, 397 nt
Filed under: uncultured bacterium
Lineage: Bacteria
Description: partial 16S ribosomal RNA
Rfam family: Bacterial small subunit ribosomal RNA
Source: RNAcentral
AUACGUAGGUGACAAGCGUUAUCCGGAUUUACUGGGCGUAAAGGGCGUGUAGGCGGUCUUGCAAGUCAGAAGUGAAAUUCCUGAGCUCAACUCGGGCGCUGCUUCUGAAACUGCAGGACUUGAGUGCUGGAGGGGAUAGCGGAAUUCCUAGUGGAGCGGUAAAAUGCAGACAUAUUAGGAAGAACACCGGUGGCGAAGGCGGCUAGCUGGCCAGUCACUGACUCUGCGGUGGGAAAGCGUGGGUGGCAAACAGGAUUAGAUACACUGGUAGUCCACGCCGGAAACGAUGAAUACUAGGUGUAGGGGGUAGCGACCCCCUCGGUGCCGCAGUUAACACAAUAAGCAUUCCGCCUGGGGAGUACGGCCGCAAGGCUGAAACUCAAAUGAAUUGACGGGG